AACGAACGCUGGCGGCAGGCCUAACACAUGCAAGUCGAACGCCGUAGCAAUACGGAGUGGCAGACGGGUGAGUAACGCGUGGGAACAUACCCUCCGGUUCGGAAUAACUCAGGGAAACUUGAGCUAAUACCGGAUACGUCCAAGGUUCUAAUCGGCCUCGGAGAAAGAUUUAUCGCUGGAGGAUUGGCCCGCGUCUGAUUAGCUUGUUGGUGAGGUAAUGGCUCACCAAGGCGACGANCAGUAGCUGGUCUGAGAGGAUGAUCAGCCACAUUGGGACUGAGACACGGCCCAAACUCCUACGGGAGGCAGCAGUGGGGAAUAUUGGACAAUGGCGAAAGCCUGAUCCAGCCAUGCCGCGUGAGUGAUGAAGGCCUUAGGGUUGUAAGCUCUUUACCCGGGAAGAUAAUGACGGUACCGGGAGAAUAAGCCCC
This 431-nucleotide ribosomal RNA is filed under the name uncultured bacterium. RNAcentral describes it as "bacterial SSU rRNA". It matches the Rfam family "Bacterial small subunit ribosomal RNA", at positions 29 to 494 of the family's 1533-position model. The record is from RNAcentral.